AGGUAUCACUAUAAUACAUAAGGAAUUUAAUUACAAGUAUCACUUAAAUGAUUUCCUAGUCUAAAUUAAUUUUUCUGAAUCAAAGGUUUCUAUGUGUCAAACUGACUCGAUCAUGCCAUCAAAGCUUACUCUAUAUGCAUAAUAAUAUGAUAUGUUGUUCCUUAGGUGUAGUCCUCGCAUUGUGUUCGCCCAGGCGCAGCCCCACAUUCAACCUGAAAUAGAAAACACAAUCCAUGUAAGUUCAUUAGAACUUAGUGAGAUAAACUCCCAUUUACCUGAAUUGUUUUUUUAUUUCACAUCUGGUAAUUCAAUUCGCCAUCUCAUUGUUCUUUUUUCCUCAACUUGUCUUUGGCGGUUACCUUCUUAGAAUGUCAUUCUUCGUGCCAUAGUUGUCACCAUUAACUCUGAAGUCAUGUCUUACAUUCCGCAUCUUUGAUACGUUACUUACGUUCUUCACUUUGUACUUUCUUGAUUCCUUAACCAUACCCAUUCUAAGGGCCCCAUACAAACAAAAUAUUCCAUUUCUUUCUCUCAGGGUCCGUCACAGAGGCGUUUUCUUCAAAUGGUUGCCACAAGGGUCAUUCUUUAGAGUGUGCCAUAGAGGUUUCUUUAUCAUAAAUAGCCACAAAGGCUUCAUUUUCAUAGAGCGCCACAAAGGCUUCUUUUUUAUAGAUCACGACAAAGGUUUCCCUUUUUGUAACGUGUUUACGAUGGGGAUUUACCUAGACUCAUAUUUCGUAAGGUUUGCCCCUCAUCGUCUUAGGACACACCGAGAACCCCAUUGGGCAAUAACCUUCAUUUAAUGCUUUUCAUAUGAUGCCAUAGCCCAACUAUGGUCUUACACAAUAUGGUGUCAUGGCCAUGGACAUUUUCCUUUCAAAGAUCGUGUUUAAAGUCCCGACAGACCCCUUAUAGACUUCACCAUGGUGAAUAGACAUAAACUCACUUGACAAACUCUUCAUACAUGAUCAUCAUUUGUUACUCAACAUUUGAUUCAUUCAAACACCCAAACGGUUUCACAUUUCAUCACAUUUUUUCUAGACAUACCUCUAUAACCAUACUUUAACUUUCAAGUUUCAAACCACUUACUCCUCAGAUUUCCUACAUACUACACAUGUAAAAUCCAUCAAACAAACAUGCAAUAGCAUCACCACUAUACCAUACUAUUCUAGUUUAAUUACAUACAAGAAAGAAUUGGCUUAGGGACUCAUCUAAUUCUCACCUACUACAGUUCAAAGCUCCAAAUCUAAACUUCCAUUACAAUUAGCAACAUCUACUGCUACAGAAUAAAGAAGCUCAUCAAGAUCUAUUCAUAUAACCCUUUUCUGAUAUCUUUUAAACACUAAAAAUCCCCAAGGAGGGCCAUUUUAUCCUUUAUCUUAAUAAUCUACCAAGUCUAAUAGAUUUACUCCUCAACACACAGUAUGCAAAGUUUUAAAUCUUACCUCAAAGUGAUGAAAUCACUGGUAAAGAUCCAAAUCUUCAACUUUAGCGCAAGAUAGGGAAAGAAAUACUUUGGAUUCCUUUAGAUCUAGAUAGAAAUACUUCUUGAAGAAGGAAGAACAAAACUCCCUCUUUUUAGACCUAAAUACUUAUAUAUAGAGCCCAAGCUCUUAUUGGAACCUACCACAUGUCACACACUUUCAAAGCUAACUUUAUAAAUAGUUUACAAAUGUAAAUAGAAAUUCAAUAUUUUUAUAUUUCUGGUUCAUCCAUUUGUUCCUUUCCAACUACCUCGUUAGAACGUAAUUAGCACAAAAACCCCCUAAAUUGGGUGUUCAAUACCUUUGGCAGUAAUCCCCUACUUACAAGGUUCUCAACAUUUUUACCAACUCUCUUAUUUUUUAUAACUUAAUACAUUUUAGGAACAACCCAUGCUUAACAAUCCAAUACAUACUAUACGCCCGGUCUAUACACCAGAAAAACAAUUGGACAGAUAGCACUAUGCCACUCAGGUUACUUUCGGUUUACCUGGCAAAUUUAGAACUCGACCAAAUCUGGGUGUUACACAUGUGGAGCUUCCAAACUGCUCCAAUGUUCUGUUUUUCACUCGUUUUUUUACUCCUAUUGCUCCCAAGUUCUCUAUUAAGCUUCGAAAUAUGAAUUUAAAGGAUUAGGAGUAUAUAAUUCACAAUUAACACCAUGUAAUCACACAAAGAUGCAUUAAGAAUAAGGAUAAAAUAUGUUAUUUUUAACACAUAUCAAUAUUUUAUAAAAAUAUAAUUAAAAUAAUUACUAUACCAGCAACUUAUUAAAAGAAGUGGAAGUGGACUUCUUUUCCAAGCAUUUGGAACAAGUUCAAAUCAUGGAGUCGAUAUUGUUGGUAGGCUUUUACCUGAAUGCCACCCCAACCUGAAUAAGACUUAGAUCGUAAAAUGGAUGAGAACAUUGUGAUUAUACCCAAAAAAGUAUUCACUAUAUUAUGAAUUUUAAUUCAUUAGGUAUGUUUGAUUGAUAGAGUUCAUUAUAUUAUAAUUUCCUAUGUCAUGUUUGCUAAGUAUAAAUUAUAAUAACACAACUACAUAAUUUUAAAAUUUAAAAAAAUUUAAAAUUAUUAAUUAUUAUAAAAUUAUCAAUAAUACUUUAAAAAAUAUUCUUUAAACAAGUAACAAGCCUAAAAUCAAAUACUCCUAUAUAACACGCUAGUUGAAGAAAGUAUUUAACAAUACGAUUAGCAAUAAAAUUAACAAAAAAAAACAUUCUAUGCAAUUUUAUCUAAUUACUUUAGCAAUCUAUAUUUGUUGGGUUAUUGUCUCUCUAACAUUAAAUAUAUAAUAUUUCUUAUUAUCUAUUGAUCUUUGCAAGGCCCAAAAAAUAGGCCUAGUAGUUUCGAGUAAGUUUACCGAGUUCUGAGUGAAAAGUUAGGAGUUAAUCGGGGUUAUUAGUAUUUUUCUCUUAGUUUAGUUAGCUUAAUUUCAUUUACAAAAAUCGGGAAAUAAUAUUUAGGAAAAUAAAAAUAUUUUUAGAAAAUUUAAUUUUAUAGUUUUAAAUAUUUUUUGGGUAAAAUAAAUAUUUUAGGUCAAAUUAGAAUUGAAAAAUAAAUUAAAAUGGGAGUUUAAUUUAGAGACUUUAAAAUAUUGAUUACAAACGAUCAUUUUGAAAAAUAAGGGAAAUGUUUGAGUGGUUUUAUGACAAAUUACCCAUAUUUUUGGAAUUUUGGUGGGAAAGGAUUGCUUUGUAAAACAAGGGACUUGUGGGAGUGCCCUGAUGGCAAUUUCCCCCAUUUUUGAAAAUCAGGUGGGGUUCUUUAGCUCAAAAACAUUGCAAUCCCCUCACUUCACACACAAUUUUCACCCAAUUUCUACGCAUUUUAUCUCGUAUUUCAUUUUCAUUUUCGAAGUCCACAUAUCAAAUAUUAGAUCUCAUCUGUUAUUUUCUCUAAAUUCUCUCAAAACUCUCUAGAAAAGAUUUUCAAAGUUGGGAAAAUAACUCAUCCAAGUUUUGCACAGAUCUUGAUCCAAUAUUCAAUAUUGAUGAUUCUAGAUCAAUUUAAGGUAAUUUCUCAGCUCUAAAUUCAUUUUAAAUUUUUUUAAUCAUUAUUUUUGAUUUAAAUCGAUUAAAAUGGUUUUUCCAAUCUUGAUUUCUUCUCUCCUAAACUUGAAAUUCAUCAAUGGUGAAUUCAUGGUUUUGAGUUGGAAUCCAAGUUUAAAUGGAUAUCUAAGCUCAAAUCAUGUUUAUUAACAGGUUUUUUAUCAGAAAACAAAAGAUUAAACUCGUCUAAUUGAUCAAUUUUGACAAAUCCAUUUUUAACUAAGAACAUGAGUUGAUAUUCCAAAAAAUUAUGAAAUUGAUGCUUAAUUUUUGUGGUGAUAGAUUAGAAAUGAUAUUUAGAAUUGCUUUUUGGUGUAGAGAAGGUCAUUUUGGGGCUGAAAUUUGUGUUUUGGCUCUACCGUGAGUUUUCGAUAAGGUAGAUUGGAGAGGUGUUUUAGAUCUGUGUAGUUCAUGAUAUUUUUUUAUUUUCUUAUUGUUAAUGAUAGCUUGUAACUUGCAUUUUAUCUCUAUUUAAGCUCCAUAAUGAGGAGAGGUUGUUGUUAAUCAGAAUCGAGAUCCAAACAUAGCUACUUGAUACACUUUGGCUUGAGAAGCAAAGUGUGAAGGUGGGUGGUUUUUAAAGGCAAUUGGUAAACAUGCCUAUUUACAUUAUAAAUUAAGGUUUUGAAUUGUGUUUCUAAUGAUUCAAUUUCAUUUCAAAUGGCUUAGAUUAUUGAAAUUGAUUUUAAUUUUAUAUAAGCAUAUUUGUAAAUGAUUUAUGGAAAUUGUGAAUUGUGUGUUUGGUAUGAUUGAUUUGGAUUGCAUUGAAUAAAUAAUUGGAGCAUGGAUUAUUGUAUAUUAGAGCACUUGAUGGUUUAAUCAUUGGGUUUAGAUCCAUGGACAAAGACACUUAUUGUGCUUAUCUAUGUUGUUACUAAAAUUGCUAAGUCACAUGAUUUAAAUUGAAUUUUUAUAUCAUGAAUUAAGUGCUUAAAUAUCAGUUUUUAUGCCUCGUAUGAUUGGUUAUAUUGGCAACAUUACAUGGUGGAUCCAUUUGAUAUAGAUGGCAUGCCAUAGAAUUAGUGAGUACUCAUAACUAUAUGUGUUAUUUGUGAGCAUAUGGCUCUAGGAGUAUUUAUUUUGUUGGAGUGGAUAAGGGAGUGUUGAGCCUUUUUCUCCACUCAAUUAUUGGCGAUUUCGAGGCGAUACAAGGGAGUGUGUGGCUACGCCCCACUCAACUGGAGUAUUGUAUUAGAUAUUUAGGAGAUCAGAGAUCCAUUUAUCCAAUGCAUGAUCACAUGUUUAUUUUUUUCCAUGGAUGUCAUUUUUCAAUAUAAGUGUUUGUUUGUUAAUUAAAUUAUGUUUCCAUAUGCCAUAAUAAAUGUGAUUUUUACUCGUAAAAUAACAUAUGGAAUUAUGAUGUUAUGAUGUUGCAUUGUUGCUGGAAAUUUCAGUCAAUUGAAUGCUAUAAUUGAGCAUGAAAAUAUAAUUAAAACUAUGAUUCAUAUACUCAAAAUUUAAUACAUGAUUUGCCUUGGUUUAGGUAUGUUUUUGGUGUGAUUUACUUAUUGAAUUUAUGGCCACUCACUGAGCUUUUUCAGCUUACACCCUCACAGCUUUGUGUAGAGUUUUUUUUUAUGCUUUGGGGAGUUAAGAAGAAAGGGCAAGGCUGGUCCAAGUCUAAGGCUAUUAGGUAGCAUAGAUUAAGGACUCUUCUUUGAUAUACUUGUAAUAGACAUUUGAGACUUUUAUUUGGAUAUUAAGUUUGAGAUGUUAUACUUGUUUUUUGUUUAAUGAUUGAUUUUACGGUUAAAUGUUAUGUGGAUUAUGGUAUGUUGCUAAUUGAUAUCAUGGUGAUUGAAAACAUGGUGAUUGAAGCAUUAAUUUUUCACUAAUACAUUUUAAUUUUAGCUUGUCAAUGAGUGGAUAGCUUUGUGGCUAAUGUAAGUCCAUUGUAUGAUUUAAUUGUUGUUUGUUAAGCAUAAUUUUGAAUGUUUAAAUUAUGAAUACAUGUUGUUUAUUAGAUGGAAUUAGAUUAAUUAAAAUUGCAUAUAUAUUAUUAAAGUAAUAAAACUUAACUAAUAUAGCCUUAAUUAGUAAAUGAAUUAAGGAAAAAUGGUUAAUUAAAAUGAAUUUUAAGGGUUUCCCAAAAUUAAUUAAAAGGAAGGUGGUAAUCAUUUAGAAUUAAAAUCGGGAUUGUUUAGUUUUAAAUGGUAAAAUGACUCAAAUAUCCUUAGGAUUAAAUCCUAAAAAAUAGUUUUGCAAUGGUUCACAAAUUUCUUCUGCAAUAAGAUUAGACAGUUAUUAGUUAGAAUUGAGGUGUUAUAAGAUUGGGGUGUGUUUUGGGGUGGUUUUGUGCUGGAGAGUCACUUUGAUGGUUAAUGUGCUGCUUCAGAUUUGGGUCAGUCCAUUCCGGUCAAGUUUGGGGUGUUACAAUCUUUGACCAAGUAUAAAUAAUUUAACAAUAAACAUUAUAUAUUUUAGUUAAAUUUAGAAUAAAUAAUUUAUAAUAUAUACUAUGUAAUUUAGUUAAUUAUUUAGUAAGUAAAAAAGUAUAGGAAAAUAUCGCUCAGUAAUAAAUUUUCAAAUUAUUUAAACAACAAAAAUAACAUAUAAUUAUAUUUAAAAUUUAAAAUAGAUAUCCUAAAAUUAAAAUAUUAUUUAUCGUGACUCAUUUUUUAUUAAAAAAUAAAAAAUGAGCUUGGUGAAUUUUGAAAAAAGUAUGGAGGAUUUCUAAUUUAAAAAAAAAACCCCACAUAGUCUUAUUAAACAAAUGGAAAAUCGUCACUGAUAUUUUUACUACUAGGUGUGAUCGAUUAUAUAUAAAAUCAUUUUUUUUUAAAAACUAAAUUUGUUUUAGAACGAAAAAUUUUGAAUCUACGUUGAAAACUAGAGUAAUAAUUAAAUUCAAGAGUUAAUUAUGCACAGAAAAGAUUUUAAUACCCUCGCAAUGCCUAAAAAUUGAUACGUAGUUAAAUACAUGUUGUCUUAAUUUUGAAAAUUAAAUGUUUAAAUUUAAAUAUUUAAUUAUCAUCCAAUGCUUUAUUUUUUUUCAAAUAAAUUUAUUAAAUAAGUGAAUUCCUUCUUGUAAAAACUCAAUUAUUAUUUUCAUGUGCCCUUCCCCCUUCUCAAUAUUUUUCAACUAAAAAUUUCAUAUUAAGAUUCAUUCCAUUACUUAUUUUCAUCCGUUAAUAUCCAAUACAACGUUCAAGACCAUUCAAAUGUGUAGGACUUAUGUAAAAGCCAUCUAUUAAAUGUGAAAAUCAAUUUGUGAGUAAUGGUUAGAUGUAUAUUAAAUAUCAAAGGAUGAAAAAGUAAUAGAGUAGAACCAAACCCAAAAAUUUCAUAUCUAGUAGUAAUUUAAAUAUAUAUAUGAUAAUACUCUAAAUUGACAUACUUUUAUGUGUUAAUUGCAUAUAUAUUUUAAGUAUGAUCCUACUAAUUUAGGCUUUUUAUGGGUUUUUAUCUUGUAGGGACUAAAUUGAAGGAGAAAAGAAAUUUGGGGGCAAAAAACGUGAACUGAAACACAGAAUGGGUCAGCAUGCAAAAUAGGGAAGAAAUGGUGCAAAAAAUACAAAAUGCAAAAGACUUGGGGUAAAAAUUCAAAGAAGAGAUUUAUGAACAGAAGACUCUAUUUAAAUUCAAAUUUUAUUUUUAGGAUUAUUGUUAUGAUUAUUAUGAUAUUAUUUAGAUUUAAUUUCAGAAUAUAUCUUUAUUUAUCUUUUAGAGUUUAAAUAGGAAAAAACUAGGUUUUCUAUAUACUAUAAAUAGGGGAUAGAGUGACAUGAAUAUUCACUCAUCAUUUUCUGUAAAACGCUCACUCUCUCUAAAGCUCUUAGCUUUUUGUUCUUUUUAUUUUUCAAUAAAAUUUCAUUCCAUUAAACUUAUUUCUUUUUUCCGAAAAGCAUGAUCCACUAAACUCAUCUAGCCAAGGGUUAUCGAGAUUCCCAAAAAAAGGUUUAUGAGGCUUAGAACCUACACUUAGCCUUCUCAAUGAGUAUUCAUCGUUUCUCCGCAUUACAGGACUGUCGCUUCUGUCCAUGUCCUUCCAAAAAUGAUCUUUUCAUCUUGCGCAAAUGCGGCCGCUUUGUAUAUUUUGGGAAGGUUGCAGAGUCGGUUCGCUAACUUUACGUCAAAGGUUGUCGAGCCCAAGAGACGAAAUGGCAUGAUAUUUGCCAUUGAGAAAUGAUAAUUUAGUGUAAGACAGUCCCACAAAAGUGACAGUUGGCUAGAGUCAGGUUCCUCUAACUUGUAAGGGUAAAAUCUAAGUAGAGUUGGUUGUCGUAGGUGUCCUUUUCCACUAUAACUGACUUAUUCUGUCAUGAGAAGGAUCACCUAAAAGCCUAGGAUUGAGAUUACUAGAGACUAGAAUCCCUUAAAUCGAAGAAUCCAUUUCCUCAAUUCUGUUUCUUUUUACAAUUUCAAUAUCAAUUUAUACAAUUUUCAACUCGUCCUUAUUUUUAAUUUUGUCUUUUUUUUUUAUUUUUCCCAAGUACGUCGUUUUUCUUGGGCAUGACUGUGCCCAAGAUUUCGAGAAACAAGAAGUUGUAGUGAUCUAGUCCCUGAGGAUUUGACCCUACUUCUCUUAUACUAUUAUUUUCGUUAUUUAUUAGGGAUAGGUUUUUUUUGGUGCUUUCAAUGAUACACCAAAUUUUGGCGUCGUUGUUGGCGACUAGUUCCAUACUAAUCUUGUUUCUUUUUCUUAUGACCAGAUCUGCUCCAGGAAUUCCUACGUUUCAUUCAGAAAUAGAAAAGACUGCGAGAGCUAAUCGUAAGGAAACGAAGCUACGGAAAAGGUAGUUAGAGGUGGUAAGAACUUAGAGUAACCCACCACUAGAAAUAGAACCAAGUGACGAAAUUGAAUCUAGGGUUAAUGAAAACCCUAUUCAAACACUAGAGAAUGAAAGAAUAGUAGUCGAUCCACUAGAAGAAGUAUCUGACGCUAGGGUUAACAUAAACCCAAAUCUAGCACAACAACCUAUGUCUCAAACGAUUCGACAAAUGGCCGAAGCUCCUGCAGAACAACAGUCGUUAUGCAUUGCGUAUCCUACUAUGGAUACUAAUUUUGAACUGAAGUCAGGAUUAAUCUAGUUCUGCCAACUUUUCAUGGAUUAAAAAAUGAAAAUCCACACAAACAUCUAAAAGAGUUUUAUAUGGUUUGUCUUAAUAUGAAACUUUAGGGUGUAACUGAGGAUCAAAUCAAAUUACGUGCUUUCCCUUUUUCCCUAGCAGACUCUGCUAGGGAAUGGUUAUUUUAUUUACCUCCUGGAUCUAUCACAACGUGGGCUGAUCUUUCCCAUUUGUUUCUCAAUAGAUUUUUCCCAACAUCGCGUACAGUUGAGUUGAGGGAAAUUGUUGGGAUAAGACAAAAAGAUGUGGAGUCUCUUUAUGACUAUUGGGAGCGCUUAAAGAAGUUGUGUGCAAGUUGCCCACAACAUGGGAUAACAAAACAAUCUCUACUCCAAUACUUUUAUGAUGGCUUGAAGCUCAUAGAAAUGAAUAUGAUAGAUGCCGCCAGUGGAGGGAUUUUAGUCAACAUGACCCCCCAACAGGCAAGGGACUUGAUCUCCACGAUGGCUACAAAUACUCAGUAGUUCUGAGCCAAUCUUGAACCCACGAAAAGGGUUCACCAGCUAAGUAAUUCAACUUUAGAAGAUAAAGUUGAUAGACUUACUAAUAUCAUGAAUUCACUUUUUGCAGUAAAAAUAGGACCAACUCGAUUAUGCGAAAUUUGUGCAACACCCGAACAUACAACUGAUACAAGCCCUAGUUUGUGUGAAGAUACUACAACCCAUUUGGAUGUUGUGGGGAACUUUCUUGGACAAUCCCAAAGGUGAUAUGACCCUUAUGCAAGUACAUAUAACCCAGGAUGGAAAGACUAUCUUAACUUGAGUUAUGAGGCAAACCUGCAGUAUAACCAGCCAUACCAAAACCGGUUUCCACAACAAACGAAAGAUUACCAGCUAAUAUGUUUGAUUUCCAACAACAAAUACAAUGGCAAACUGUUGAUUUCCAAAAGACAGUAAAAGAUUUUCAACAAAAAAACAAGGCGUCUAUAAGAGAGUUGACCACAUCAAUUGAGAAAAUGAACUCACAGGGAAAGUUGUCGUCACAAACGGAACCUAACCCAAGACAACAUGUAAAUGCAGUGACAUUAUGAAGUGGAAAAGUACUGGAACCAAAUCGUGGCAAGAAUCUUGAUCAAGAUUCCAUCCAGAAAAAGUAGGAGAACAAUGAAAAGGUCCAAGCGAAACCUCCAUUGCCCAUAAUUCAACCUCCUUUUCUAGGACAAUUAAACCAACAUCGAAAAGGUAAAGAGGAAAAAGAGAUCCUCGAAACAUUCAGAAACGUCGAGAUCAACAUACCAUUGUUGGAUGCCAUCAAACCAAUUCUGCAAUAUGCCAAGUUCCUUAAGGAUCUCUGCACCAACAAGCGAAAAUUAACUAGAAAUUAAAGAGUAAGUGUUGGUGAAAAUGUAUCUGCGGUGUUGCAGCGAAAGAUGCCAACAAAAUGUAAAGACAGGGGCAUGUUUGCAAUACCAUGCAAAAUAGGCAACUUAGGAAUUAAAAAAGCUAUGUGUGAUUUAAGGGCCUCCAUAAAUGUAACGCUUUUUUCUAUUUAUGAAUAACUUAAUGUGAGUUUUUUUUAUAAAAACAAGUGUUAUCAUUCAAUUAGCAGACAUCUCUAUUAUGCAUCCCGAAGGAGUUCUUAAGGAUGUAUUAGUGAAAAUCAAAGGACUUAUCUUUCCUGUGGACUUUUAUGUGGUAAAAAUGCAAGAGGAAAAUGCUCCUGAGUCUUUAGACAUCUCGUUGGGGCGACCUUUCCUUAGUACCACAAGUACUAAGAUUGACAUGCGUAGCGAAACCCUCAUGAUAGAGUUUGAUGGGGAGAUCGUGAAGUUUAAUGUUUAUGAUGCUAUUAGGCACCCAAGUGAAAUCUUGAACAUAAACCAGGUCGACAUAAUUGACUCAUUAUUAGAAGAAACUUUUAAGUCACCUUAUGAAGAUAAACUUGACACAUUGUUUGAUGAUAAUUUCGAUUCAGGAUUUAUUUACGAAUCUGUUAAUGAAUUAUCGACUCCUAUGAACACUAAACCUCUACCUUUUGUUGUGAAGGCACUAGAUCUAGAGUUAAAACCACUUCUUGAGCAUUUCAAGUGCACAUUUUUGGAGAAUGAUGAGACCAUUUCUGACUUAAAAAGAAUUAGCCCCUAGACAUGUACACAUAAGAUUUUCUUGGAAGAAAAUACGAAACCAAAGCAAGAGGCACCAGGACAAUUGAACCCAAAUAUGUUGGAUGUGGUAAAAAAGGAGAAUUUCCAAGCCCAUGUGAUUGAAAGAAUUCAGCUGGAACAGCUCCAAUACUAAUUGGGGCGUCAAGCUAACGACAUUAAACAAGUGCUUGUUGGGAGGCAAUCUAAUUUUAUUUUUAUUUUUAUUUUGUUAUAUAUUUUAUUUUUUUUAUUUUCUUGCAAGUUAAUAAAUUUUUAUCUCUCUUCUUACGUCCAGGAGAAUCGAAGAAAUGAAAAAAUAAAUUGGAAACGGGUGUCGAAAACAGUAACGAAAAUGACAUGGGGAAUGUUCUAAACCCUUUCUUUUUUUCAUCAUAUUUGUUAAUAUUAUUUUUCACAUUGAGGGAAAUGUGAUUUAAGUAGGGGGAGACAUACCUCCUUAUUUUUGUUGUUUUAUCUUUUUUCUUUACUGUUGUGUUACUGUUACUGCUGUCUUGUGCUUGCUUUUGGCCACAUUUAUUUUUUUAGUAACCUGCCCCUUUUCAUGCCCAAGAUUUUGACUAGAAAUUACCCACUAUUUGACCUGCGAGCAUGAUUCUUGUCUACUGAGUUAGUUAUGAUUUUUCUAUAUGGAUUUCAUCUCCACUGUUUCAUUUCUAUUAGGCUAAAAUAAUUAAGAUCAAUGAAGUUAACCCUAUCUUGCUUAUAGUAGAAUUGAUUAAGUCUAAUUGAAAAGAGGACACUUAAUACGAAUUUAUGCUAAAUUUAUUUUCAUGACAGAUAGGUAAUUGUCAAAACUUAUUUUUGACACUUAAUUAUUUUUCCUAGUCCUCCAAAAUUAAAGUUCUGUUUCGUUAAAAAAUAAAAUAAAAUAAAAUAAAAUCUGAUGAUUCCGUAGUUAUGAACACAGCUUAAAACGUGACUGACUGAGUAGCAGGGAUAGAGUGCUUGGGUUGUCAUCCUACUUCAUGUAAAAAGGUUGUGUGACGUGUUAUGUAAAACUCUGCUAACCGGAAUUAAACAAAAAAUUUUAUAGGUGUGUUGAGUUGAGUAACCAGGGUGGGGUGCUUGGGUUGUCAUUCCACUUAGCGUUUAAAGGGCCGAAACAUUCUUAAACAAAAUAAUAAUAAUAAAAAUAAUAAAAAUAAAUAGGAGCGUGUUGGGCUAGGUAACCGGGUGAGGUGCUUGGGUUAUUCUAUCUUAUAAUCAGGUUAAUCAUGCCUCACAAGAGAACUUGUGCCUCUGCUCAAAUUGAUGAAUCAAAAAACAAAUUUCACUGUGAAGAAGCCAAAGCGAGAUACGAAAGCGUUUUCAAGAAUCAACAGAUGUACAUAGAAAAAGGCUUUAUGCUGAAAGCAAGCAACUAUAUUGAUUUCAUGGCGCACAGCAACUAUAUUGAUUUCAUGGCGCGCAUUCGACAAAUUGCUGAAGCUCUCAAUUGGGAAUUAUUUUGUGAGAAAAGACCCAGUGCAAAUGAGGAGUUAGUUCGUGAAUUUUACGCGAAUUUGACCUCAAGCGAAUUGACGGAAGUAUCUGUUAGCGGAAUCAAGGUAUUGAUAACCUCAAAUGAUAUUAAUGAAUUCUUUGAAUUACCUGAUUUUGAAGACGACAAAUAUUCCUCCUUGAUAAGCAAUAUUGAGUUUGAAAAUCUACAACAAAUACUCAAGGAACUUACAUUUCCAGGUUCUAAGUGGACAGUUUCAAAGCAAGGAAUUCACACUUGUCGCAGAGAAUAUUUGACACCACUAGCGAAGGUAUGGUUCUAUUUCAUUCGAUUCAGCCUUAUGCCUAUUUCACAUAGGACUACAAUUUCAUUAGAGCAAAUAGUCUUAUUAUACUCGAUUUUAACUGGAAAGACCAUUGAUGUGGGAAAAAUCAUCCUCAGAGAAAUAUAGAAUUGUGCCACUAGAUGUUCUAGCCCAGCUUACUUUCCCUUUACCAUAACAAUUUCGUGCUUUAAAGCCAAGGAACAAUCACAGAUUGGGACCUCUACCGAAUAGUUAGAGACUUUGUUCUACAGCAACGAGUUGAAGAGAGCGAAGAUCCCAAAGAAGAAGAAGAUCCCACAGAGAUCGAAUCAAUGCAGUCAACUGAAAUCCCUGAUAAGGCAGAACCAAUGGAACUAGUAACCAAACCUAACGUCGCAACUUCAAUGUUCAAGACUCAAUCGCCUCGCCCAAAUCUUCGAGAUGAGCUGUCAAAGUUGAUGGACAUAAUGCAAUAUAUGCAAUAGCAGCAACAAGCUUACUGGAGAUAUUCAAAAAUACGAGAUGACUCAAUGAGAAGCGCUUUUACAAAAAUAUUCAAUGACCCAUUUAUUUUUGUACCUAAGUUUCCAGAUUUUAUAUUUGAACCAUGGAGUUCACUAUCAAAGAGGGAGCGAAGCGAUCCAUGCAAAAACAAAGACAAUGGAGCAAAAGAUGAGUCAAAUUCAGAGGGAUCUACAAAUAAAUAAAAAGGGGGGAUCUUGACUGUAUUUUAUUUCAGUUCUUAGGUUAUUUAAUAGGAUUAGGUUUUAUUAGGAAUUUUUAUUUUUCGCAUAAUAAAACAAGAGGUGGAAAUCAUUAAUAAAAAUGAACAAGUUGCAAAGUAUAAAGUGUGGCAAUAGAUAUAUACAUGUCUAGGAUUGGAUCUAGAGAGAGCUUGGUACUUAAGCAGUCAAAUUGACUCACCUCCUCUUUUUUAGGAUCCUACCUGGUAUAUAGUAUCAAUUAACUUUUAACCAUGAGGACAUUGUUCAUCUUAAGUAAAGGGGACAAAAAAUUUGAAAUUAUUUCCACUCAGAAUAAAUUUUUCUUUCAGUUAUGAUUAGGUUAUAUUUUUUUCAAAAAUUUGAAAUUUUGUUAAGUAUGCUUAACUUCAGUAUGAAUAAAGUUCGAUUAUUUCAAUAAUUGUUAAGUUAACUGAAAUAUGACAUAAAUGUAUUUUUAAUAAAGCAUGCAAAUCAUACCAUAAAAUUUUUAGUUCCUUAGGAAAGUUAGGAUCCAUGAAAGUUUAAGUCUCUAGAAUUGACUUAGUAGUUUCUUGAGGUGAAAUCCUAGGAAGCAUGCAAUGUUGAAAAUGAUUUAGGCAACUUUUUGUUUGGACUGUUUAAGCCUUUCAAGCCAACCUUGAUGAAUUUUUAUCCUUUGAAACCUAACUUUAAGACUAUAUGGCCUAAUUUUGUUUGAACCCUUGCAAUAUUUAGCCAUCACUUUUCUUUUAAUCAUCUUUAAAUUGUCCCAAACACUAGACUCAAUACUAUUCAAAAUGUUCCUUGAAAAUAAGUUUGGGGGAGUUGAAAAGAAGUAUCAAAUGCUCAAAAAAAUUGUAGUACAUAUAGUAAAAUGCUCGUGAAAAAAAAAAGAAAAAAAAGAAAGCAUAUGUACUUGAAAGAAAAUAGAUGUACAAAAAAGCAUGUGAAAGCAAAGUAAGUUGGUUUAUUAAAGGUAAUUAUUCUGAAUGUCCAAGUGAAGCUGAGUCUAGGGUUUUUAGCCUAAAUUUAUCUAUCUUUUACCUACCCCUAGCCUAGCCACAUUACAACCUUUUAAAAGACCUAUUGAUUCAAGUUUCUAUGCUACCUAUAAAAGUGGGGAGAAAUUUCUAUUUUCAACAUAUGAAGGCAUAAAUUAAACUUGAUGAUUUUAGCUUAAUCUUGAAUAGGAAAAUAAAACCAAAUUGGUAGGGAUUUAGCAUGUCUUUAUUAGGAAGCAUUUAGUCUAUUUUUUCUAUCAUAAUAAUAAUUGAGAUUAAUUUGAAUGAUAUGUAUACAUAAGUAGCAUAAAUAUCAAAUUUCUUGUUUUUGAGCAUAAGUAUACUAAAAUCAUGAUUUUGGGAAGAAUGUUGUUCUGGAGAAAUUUUUCAAAAGGGUUUUUUAGAAAUGCUUUUCAAAUUUGUGCAUUACUCGGGACGAGUAAUAAAUUAAGUUUGGGGGUGUGAAAACACAAAAAUAUACACAAUUUUUCAUGCCCUUUUUAACUCAAAUUCAUGCAGUUUGGGUAAAAUUAUUGUCAAAAAAUAUAUAAUUAUUAUAAAAUAAUUAUUUUGUACUUAAAUUAUUAAAAUGUUUAAUUUUAAUUAAUUUUAUUAUUAAUUUUUAUUAAUUUUGAUUAUUUUCGACAAAUUUGCACAAAUGGCGAAAAACAGCUCGAUAGACACUACUAGAAGCACAAAACCGAGAAGCAAUUUUGAAGUAUCAAGGUGAACUAAUUUUUCAGCCUACGAAGGUCCAAGUUAUGUGUAGUAAUUCAUAAUAUAAUUAAUUUUAAUUUUAAUCCAAUUUAAUUUGGGUUAAAUAAAUUAUAUUGAAUUAAUUAUGAAAAGGGGCCGAGUUGAGCUGAACCGAGAAAACCAAUCCAAUAGAGCACUAGGCAGCCCAAAACCGUCCCACAUGCUGAAUCCAUCAUCUUUAUUUGCUGAUUAUUUGGCUUGCAAAAUUUCCCUUGAAGACUCCUUCAAUUUGCAUUCAAACCCCUCCACUAUUCAUGCCUUUCAAGAUUUGCCCCUACCUAAAAAUAGCAUGUUUGAAAUCUUCAAACAUGCCACAUGUGUGAUUGGUCAUAGGGGGAGUCUUUGCCUGUUUAUUUUGGCUAUUUUUAGAAGCCUUCUCAACCUAUAAAUACCCCCUUGGUUGCUCACUUCAAAGACAUCUCAAACCUGUUCAUUUCUUCACUUCUCUCUCAUUUUUCUCUCUUCAUUCCCAUCCAUCGUUCUUCAUUUUCUUCCCACAUUCCCUUGUCAAUUUUACCUCUUGAAAAAGAGUUAUUAAACCACCAUUUGGAGCAGCAUUCAAGUGUUCAUAGAAGCCUCGGUUCAACAAGAACAAGCAGAGAGGGAGGAGCGGAGCAAACUAGUCAAGCCUCGGAGAAACACCGGAUUUGAUUCUUGUUCCCUAUCCUUUUAAUUUUGUUGUUUUUAUGAUGAACAUGUCUAUGAAUAUUUGUGAUGUUGAUAUGUUUAAUUUAAUUAAUAUGGCUUAAAUUUAAUUUGUGUUAGGUUUAUUGCAUUUUGUCUACUUAAUUUAUUAAAAUUGUGUUUGUGUUGUUAUAGGCCUUAGUAAGAUGUUUGAUUAAGUAAAAUCAUGACUAUGUUAUUCUUGCAUUACAAUUGUAAGGUAACUAAUGAAUUAAUUAUUUAAACGGAUUGAAAUUGUAAUUAAUUUGUCACAAUACUUAAUUAGUGCAUGUUUAAUCAUCUAAGGUAGCUGGGGUUAAAUUAGCAACGGUAUCUAACAAUACAUUAGCCUUGCAUAACUUGCAAGAUUAUUAUGAUUAAACUGUUUCAAGGUAGAAAUAUAUUGUUACCUCACGUAAUCUUUUAUGUACUUAUGAGAUUGAAUUAAUUGUUUGAAUUGGCAUAGAGAUAUGUACAAGAUAUUAUUUUAAUUUCGUAAGUAUGUAUGUGUAUUAACACAUUUUCUUAUUAUAAUUUGUUUAAUCGGUUGAAUUGAUGUAGAGAUAUAGUCAAGAGAUAAAUGGAUUUUGAUAAGUUAGCAAAUUACCGAGUUGCCGUGAAUUUAUUCAUAACAACAUGAACAUGAGUUUAAUAAUUCUAAGAUAAUAAAUGUAAUUCAUCUAACACAAUUAUGUCAUCUUGAUUAAAAUCAUCUUUUGAAAUCGUGCAUUGGAACUUUUAUUUUAUUUUUAAUUAUUUUACUUUGUUAAAAUCCUAGUUUUUAAUCACCUCUUCAAAUCAAAAUAUUUUUCUUCACCAAAGUGUUUUUAAAAUUGCAUUCAUAAAUAAUUUUUUUCACAGCCCUUGUGGGUACGAUAACUUGACAUUUACUUGUCACUUUAUUACUUGUUGCGAUUGUGUACAUUGCACAUUUCCGUCUUCCAGUUGUCAAGCCGUAGUAUUAGUUCGUAUAUAAGCAUUAAACAUGUCUUUCAUCAUGUGAAAGAAAGAUUAGAGGACUAUUCUCUAGGCUCUUGAAACUCAGGUACAUUACGAGCAACCCCUUGAUUGGUGGUUGAAAAAUUACUUUGUGCAUCAUCGGGUACUGUUCGAUUGAAAUCAGUUGACAUUUUAAUCUAUUAGAAAAUAAGUCAAACUGAUCAGGAGUCAUCACACUAUCACGGGUUAUAAAAUGGCAUGUAUUCCUAGACUCAAUACAUGCUACCUUCUGUCCUAAAAUCAACUAAACCAUAGCUCUAAUACCACUAAAUGUAAUACCCUAUACCCGAUACAAUUACUGUCCUGAGCUGUAAGAUAUUACAGCUAUAAAACUUUAACAUAUUUCAUAAAUUAUAUCAAACAUAAUCAAAAUAAUUCAUCACCAAUCAUUUCCAUCGAAAGUCUCAUUCCUUAUAACCGUUUCAUAUAUUCGUUUCAUUUUAAACAUUUAACACCCGAUGAACCAAAUGAAAUAACGUCAGAUACUCAAGAACAAUGCUCACAAAAAGUGUGACUGUAAUUGUAACUGUAAAUGCUUACACUAGCUAUGAAAUGGGUCAGUUCACACGAGCUAUGUGUCAGGAUGUUAGGCUAAAUGAUGCUACUCACACGAGUCGUGGAGAAUCCACAACAAAUGCAGGACCUCAGCCAACGGUAGGAUAUUCAAGACCAGCACCCAAAACUGUAAAUAAUCCCUAAUGACAUGACAUUUGCAUCCUAAGCAUUCACGAGGUUCAUAUGGACCAUUUUUCAUAUCUAUAUCAUUUAGUCAUAUACAUAUUAUUUCAUCACAAGAAUUCAUCCAUGUAGUUUCCCAUUUUCAAACAUAACCUUUAAUUUAAUUAUCAUUUCAACUUAGUUCAUUUAAUCUUUUACCAUUUAACCAAUAAAUGAACUCAAUCAUGACAUAUAUAGAUAGAUUAAUAUCACAAAAACAACUAAUUAAUUUUUACUAAGUUACGAACUUACCUCGACUAACAUGGAUGCAAAUAUAAAGCCGACGACUAAUCCAAAACCUUAGUUUUGGCAUGAUUCAAGUCUAGUUUAUUUGUUUCUUGAUCUAAAUAAUAAUUUAACUCAAUUAAAUAAUUCAAGUAGCUUAAAUUUAAAGAUUCUAACUUAUAACCCAUUUUAAUGUAAAAUUACGAAUUUACUCCUAACAUUUUAACUUUUGUUCAAUUCAGUCCCUAAAUUCCAAACUCACGAUUAAACCACAAUUAAUGAAAUAUCAUAAUGAUUUUAUUUAACGUCCUUUACAACCCAUAGCUUUCAUCAUUUCAUAAAAUUACCAUUGAAUUUUACCAUUUUCUCAAAUAAGUCCUUAAGCUCAAGUUCAUAAAAAAUCACUUAACAAAAUGUGUCUAUUUAACAACCAAGCUUAAUAAUCUAUUAAUCAAAUUCACUAACACUACAAACUCAUUCAUGGAAAGUCCCUAAACCUUUAAAAAUUUUACAAAUUAACCCCAGGGCUAGCUAGAUUAAGCUAAUACGAACUCGAAAACAUAAAAAUUACUUCAAACUGGACAAAAUAUUAUACCAUGCAUACCAAGAUAGCUUAGCCGAAACUUGAAGAUGCAAAAUGGUGGUAUUUUCCUUCUUAAUUUUCGAUGAUCGUGGAGAAGAAAGAUGAUAGCUUUCUUUGGUUUAUUUUUGUUUUAGUUUAAUUUAUUUAAUUACUAAUUUACCCUUAGAUUAUUAACUAAUAACUAACAAGAAUUUGUCCAUAAAUGUCCACUAGCCACUUUCAUGGUUUAUUUACCAUGUAAGUUCAUUAAUUUACUUUUUUAAAGUUAUUUAACCCUUUGAACUAAUAGAAACCCACUUUUGCAACCUUUACGAUUUAGUCCUUUUUACUAAAUUAACUAUCUAAACCUUAAAAUUUCUUAACGCAAAUUUAAUACAACCCUAAUAUAACUCUAUAGACAUUAAAUAAACAUUAAAAUACCAACUUGCUCAUCGGAAUCGUGGUCCCAAAAUCACUAUUUCUGACGCCACUGAAAAUAGGUUGUUAUAACAUACCUUCAUUAAUACUCCAUACUUAUGUUCAUGGACAAUCUUAUUAAUUAUUUUUUAGUUGAUUACGCCCUAAGUAGACUUAGAGACAAUGGUUGGAUACUCGGAACCAAUCAGCCAACACACCAUAAUAAUAGAAAUGUCGUGGCAUUAGUGUUUGAAGACCAGAUUAGAAUCAUACCAAAGUGCCAUAAAUGGAAACACCAAAGUGCUAAUAACAAGAGUGCUAAAGUACUCAUAUUAGGAAUCCCUUAUUGGCAAGCUAAUAGUAUCCAAGCCAACUCAAUAAGCUACUAGGGCUCAUUUAUCAAUCUAGAUUGCCAGAAAUUUUUUUUACAAUAAUUAUUCGUUUUAGUGUUGAUUUUCAUGACUUAUGUUUCUAUAACAAAAUUUAGUAAAAAUUCCAUGGCUUAUGCCAUCAUAACAUGAUUUAAUAGAAAUCUCACUCAAUGUAUUAUGCCAAUAUCAUUUCUGUCAUAAAUAUGGUUUUUAGCCUUUUUGUAACACCCCAAACCCAACCUAGACGUUAUGGCCAGAUUUAAAGGUGUUACCAUAAAUCAAUUGAAAACAUAAUAGAAAUCUCACUUCAUGUAUUAUGCCAAUAUCAUUUCUGUCAUAAAUAUGGUUUUUAGCCAUUUUGUAACACCCCAUACUCGGCCUAGAUGUUAUGGCCAGAUCUGAAGGUGUUGCCGUAAAUCAAUUGAAAACCUAGAAUUCGUUUGUCUUGAAAAGAAACCAAUUAGUUUAUAUUUUUAUAGAAAUUCGAUUUAUUAGAAAAUGCAUCUUUCCUCCUCGAUUGGAGAAAACUUUUGUUCAGAUUCACAUAUUUCAAAAUGGUUGAAUUUGCAGCAGAAAACUUUUAGUUGAGUGCAAUUCUGAAAACACUGUUGUUUAGAAAAGUCCAAAAUUUUGAUAAUCAUAUUCAAAUUAGCCGAAAAGCUUAAAUAAUUAAAACAAAAAAUACACAGCAAAAAUAAAGUCCAAACAUGAAACAGUCCAAGAUAGUCCAAAAAUGCUGAAAUAAUAAAAUUAAGAAAAAUAUAAUGAUUAAUUAAUUUAUUUUUAACCAAGUUCCGUCACACCGACCCAUCCUAAGUCUGAGGGUUACCUAAUUGACAAACAACAGAAAGUGAGUUUUUGAAACUUAGUGUGUAACAUAUCAUACAGAAAUCAAUUAGACAUAUAGAUAUAUAUAUUAGAAGCAGAGCUUAUCAAAACAUAACAGAUGCAAAUAUAUAUAAUCCUAUCCCCAUCCACUACACACCAUCUUUGCCAUCCCAACACACCAUAUAGGGUAUUAUAAAUCCAUCCAACCCUACACACUGUUUAGUGCUGAUAUGACACUUUUCAAAAUAUUUGCAGCUGAACUACCAGUUUAUUAAGUGUGAUUUAUCGCUUCUUACAAAAAAAUAUGUGGUUGUGCCACCAAUUACGAUAGAGAUAGCCUACACUUCUAUCAUAUACACAAGUCCCAUCCCAAAUGCAAAUGCAGAACUAACAGAUUUCUAAUAUUUUUAUGAUAUACAUGCUUAUCAUGACCAAUACAGAACAUACAUAACACUUUUCAGAUUAUACAUACUAUAGAUUUAUCACCUCAUAUAUACGUGCAUAUAUCAUAUUUUAUGCUAACAGAUGGUCAAAUUUCAUGUUUUAUAACUUCAUUGAUCACAUACAAACCCUAUGGAAGGCCUACAUUCGAUUCAAAUGAUAUUUACGGCCUUAGGCACACGUAUGGCCUACACGGCCUCACACAUGCCCUUGUGUGGCCCACACGGCCCAAUUGGCCUAAACUAUGUGUCACACAUAGCCCAGCACACAGCCUGUCACAUGGUUGUAUGUCACACACACGAUAGUGUGGCAUCAACAAUAUAGAUUUUUACUUUUGUUGUUCGCUAAUUUUCAGGUUUUUCGCUACACUCAUUUAUUGUUUCUAAAGUGAAUCCACUCGUAAGACUUCCAAAACCUAAAAUGUUAAUUAACCCACCUGAUUAGCAAUGAUUUCCCAAUUUUCCAACUAACACUUCCAUUCAAAAACGUUAGUAUAAACAUUAUUAAUCUAAAAUUUAGACUCUUAGGCGUUCUAACACUCACCCAAAAAUCCACAGCAGAACCAAGUACCACUGACUCACAAUAGGAAAAUUUUGAACUUCUUGAUUAACACUUAACAACAAAAAUUUACGAGAUUAAACCAUGCUCCAAUGAUAAUUAAGCCAUUAAUCACAACCCUUAUACAAAACUAUAGAGAACACUUACCUAUGAAUUCCCGUAGAAUCAUAAUCGCACAAAAGAAUAAGGUUGAACCCCAUACCAAUUCACAAGGAAGAGAUUAAAACAAAAUAACAAAGAAAUCAAGAACAAAAUAGCACAGGAGGCGUAAAUGAAAGAAGGGAAAAUAAAGAAAGUACAAGAAAGGAAGGAACAAAAAGAAUAGAACGUGGAAGCACAAUUGGGAAAUGUGGGGAAUUUGGGAAAGAUUAAAUGAAGUAAAAUAAAAUAAUAAAAAUCUUUUUCUUUUUCUAGCCAUUUAAUUUUUGAAAAGAAAACAAUAAAAGAAUCAUGAUAACCACCUAUCAGAUACCGAUAACCACACAGAUUUUUUUAAGAAUUUGAAUUUAACUUAUCCACGAGAACAAGGCAAAGCAUAAAAAUAUUCCACUAGCUCGUGCAAAAAGUCGAACACAUGAUUAAAAGGUUUACAAGGACUUAACCAUUGAACCACUAAGCUUAUCAUUAACAUAGAUUGACCAAAAAUAAUUUUUAACCCCAACAAACAGAGUUAGGUCUAGGGAAAAAAUACUUGAAUUUUCCCCAAAGAUAGAUUUGAACCCAAGACCUCAAAUACAUAAAAAAAGGUACUUAACCACUAAAGCAAAUACUGAUUAAUAUCAAAAUUUAACAGAUCAACAAUUAAAUUUUUGGGACGUUAUGUGACAGCCCUAAACUGACCCUAGUCGAAAAGUGGUUUCGGGACCACGAAACCGAGUCCUAUAAGAAAUUAAAAGAUAUAUUCCGUGUUUAUAAUGUGAGUAAAUGCAUGUGUGAAAGUUUCAUGCAUUAAUUUGAUUAUUUUUAUGUGAAUUUAGUUAAAAAGGACUUAUGUGAAAAAUAUUAAAAUUGUGGUAGGUUGAAGUGUAGUGGUCAAAUAUUGCAUGGCUUAAAAUAUGGGGAUUUGCAUGUCAAAUUCCCCAUUUUUAUGUAAGUGGCUGGCCAUGAUGAUGGUUGAAUAGCCAUAUAUGCAUUAUAUAUUAUAUUAUAAUAGUUAAUGGUUUAAAUUUUAAAAUAAAAAAAGGGGAAGCCAUACAUCCUUGCCUUGUGCUUGCCAAAUGUUGAGAAAGAAAGAAGAAAUAUAAUUAUUAAAUGAUAUUUGGCCACUACAUAGGUAAGUGGACGGUAAUGGACCACCAUUUAAAAGGUUUUCAUAUUAAAUUACAAAGAUUAAUUUAGUAAUUGGCUUAUUAAAAUGAAAUAUAAUAGAAGAUGGUGAUAAAAACAAAGUUACACCCAUCCUUUCUUGCAUUUUUGCCGAAAACCAUAAAGAAAAGAAAAUGGAAAUGAAGCUAGGGCAUUCGGCUAUGGUGAAUGUAUAGAUUAAGGUAUGUUUAAUGCUCUUUCAUUGAAAAUCCUUGUAUAUUUGGAGUGGUCAUCAAGUAUAGAAGUCAGCUCAUGGCAAACUUUUUGUAAAUGGAUGAAGAUGACAUUUGGUCAUGGAUGUUUAUAUUUCUUUGAUGUUGGUUUCGAUGUUUUGUGUAUUGAGGGUUGAUAAUAGAUGGAAGCCGAAUGGUUGUUGUAUGUAGAUAGCAUGCAUGCCAAUAAUGUUUUUAUUUUCUACUUAAUGUCUUAUUGAUUAUGAGUUAACAUGAAUAUUUAGUUGAACAUAUACCUUGAAUUAUGUUCAAAAAUUUUAAUUGAUUAGUUGUACUCUUCUUUUUGCUUUUGAAUAUUCGAAAUAUUGAAGGUGAAAGGCUGGAAAAUUUCAAGUUGAAAUGUUGUCCAAAUGCUGGAAAUUUAGCAUGCAUAUUCUUUUAUUUAAAUGCUUUGACCGAAUGUUGGAAGUUAACUUGAAUGAUGUCUGGUUGCUGCAUGAGGGAGUUAAAAUUGAACUUAAGAUAGUUUAUUACUAAUUAAUUUGCUGCUGUAAUGCUGUAAAUUAUUGGCUGUCCAAAUUAGGACAAAUUUAUGGUACUUAGCUAAUUAAUAUGCUGCUGUAAUACUUAAAUUAUUGGCUCUCCAAAUUAGGACAAAAUCAUGGUGUUAUGUGCUAGCAUGAUAUGUAUGUGUGAUUGAAGUGAAAAAUGUUUAGAUGAUUUAUAGUAAUUGGCUAAUGUGUUUUUGUGGAUAUAGAUGCCGAAUGUGGACUCAAGAAAUUAAUUGGAAAAUUUGUUGUUUGUUUAGGUGAUAGAAAGUAUGAAAUAGUCUUAUGUGAUACGUGUAUAUAAGUAGAUGGAAGUGAAGUGUCCUAUAUUUUUGUGUAUGGGAUUAAUUGCAUUUUGAUUUUAAUGUGCAUGAUUAUUACUAUGUUUAAAAUGUGUGAAAGCCGAAUAUGCUCAUGAUACAAUGCUUGAUUAGUUGAUUAACAAUAAGUUAAAUUUGUGUAAUCCAAGCUUAAGAGCAAAGAGGAUCAAAGUCGGAUAGGGGAAAAGAGAAAGUAAACAAAUAGCCGUGGAUAUCUAGUCGUCGACCACUUCCGAGGUAAGUUUUAAGUGAUUAAACGUUGAGUAAAUUCAAUCAUAAUAGGACAUAAUGAGUUGAUUUAAUAAGGUAUGAUGUGGCCAUGAUAUGUCUUAAACUCAAAUGGUAAGUUCAUAUGUGUUUGGACUUGGAAAUUUAAGAGCAAAUUGUAAUAAUUUGCUUUGGACAGCAGCAGUAACGUGAUUUUAGAAAAUCACUAUAAAUUGUUGGUGUGGAAUUAUAGGCUGAAUAAAAUAUGUAAUCAAGGCUUAAUUAGUCUAGUUUCUUAUAAAAGAGACCUUGUGAGCAAAGAAAUUUCCUAUAAAGAGAUAUUUAAAGUUGUGUGAGACGGUGUCAGAAUGACUCCGAAAUCCCCUGAUCUGUUUUUAGAAAAUCAUUAUAAAUUGUACAAAAAUGGUUAUAAGAUAAAAUUUAUAUGCUUAGACUCCUUAAUGAGUCUAGUUUCAAAUGAAAUCAAAUACAACACAUUUUGAAUUCUGUAAAAUGAGAAAUUUGAUUCGUAGUGAAGAGUGGUCAGAUUAGUCAAACAGUGAAACAGGGGAAACUUUAAGAAAAAUCUGGUAUUUAUUGGACAAACCUAAAAUUCUGGAAAUUUUAUGGAUAGAAUAUAUACGAGUCUAUAUUCAGGAAAAAUUAACGGCAAGUGAUUUGGAGUUUUGUAUCUCUGGUUAUAAAUAAUUUAGUGACCAUUGCUCAGGAAAACAGCUCGUAGUGAAUAUGUGAUUUUGUUGUAAACAUGGAUAAAACUUGUUUUAGUUGCUCAUAAGCUAUUGAUUAAACCCAUACUUGAAUUCUAAAUCGUGAUAUUGUAAGUUUAUGAGUAUUCGAAUAUGAAAUGAUAGUAUGGCGUAAAAUUGAAUUAUUCAUUGGAAAGUGAUGGAUGUAGAUUCGGCCAAGACCAAGUCUGUACAUGAUAGUAUAUGUGGUAUGUGAAGUAUAUUUGAAUGAAUGUGAAAGUAUAUAUAUGUGAUAAGGCCUAAUGGCCGAUGUGAUGAAUGUGAAAGUGUAUAUAUGUGAUAAGGCCUAAUGGCCGAUGUGAUGAAUGUGAAAGUGUAUAUAUGUGAUAAGGCCUAAUGGCCGAUGUGAUGAAUGUGAAAGUGUAUAUAUGUGAUAGGGCCGAGUGGCCAACGUGAUGGAUGUGAAAGUGUAUAAAUGUGAUAAGUCCCGAAGGGCAUUUGUGUCAGUACUAUAUCCGGGUUAAAACCCCGCAGGCUUUAUGCGAGAUUAUUAUCACUGAUUAAUGUCCGUAGGCUUCGUGCUCGUACUAUAUCCGAGCUCUAAAGACCCGAUGACUACGUGUGGAGAUUUUGUCCAGGUAAGCCCCGAACUAAAGGUUUUGCUGAAGAUUCAAGUAAAGCGUAAGAUUAUACAACUUCACAGUAACAAUUGGUAAUAAAUACGUUCAAUGCGUUAAGUUGGUCAGGUAUGUAUUUUGAGAUUAUAUUUAAGUUUGAUUUAGACUAAAUCACAAGGUCGUUAUGUGAUGCACAUGUGAGUAAAGCAAUAAGACUGUUCUAUGAUUAUUGUGCAUUUGGUCAAUGUGGAAAGUCAGGAAAAAAAAUAUGUAAUGUACCUAUGAUCAUAAGAGGUCACUAUCAAGUGAGAAUUUAUCUGCCUAUUAUAUAUGAUGAGAUGUGCAUAUUCAGUAAAGGGAUGGUAUGCCCGAAGGAAGAGUGAAAUAAAAAAUACGAACAACUAUGUUAUAAUUUGAUUGUUAUCUGUUGACACUGCUUAAAACUUACUAAGCAUUAUAAUGCUUACUCCGUGUACUUUGUUUCCUCUGUUUUAUAGAUCUCAUUUGGAAGCUACAGGCUCGGGGAUCAUCAGCAACUAGUCACACUAUCACUAUCCACUGUUUGGUACUGCUACGUUUUGGAUUAUCUUAUGGCAUGUAUAGAAUAGACUAGUAGUGAGAGGAUAUUUUGGUUAAUGUAUAUAAGCCAUGCGAAAAUGGCAUCUUUUGAAUGUGUACUUAUAGAAGUUUAAAUUGUAUCCCUGACUGUCUCUAGUACUUAUCUAGAGGAAUGUUCAAAAAAAAAAUUUACUGUUCUGAUAUGAGUUUCAAGACUGGUAAUGCCCCUUUAUCUAUUCCGGCGACGGAUACGGGAUUGGGGUGUUACACGUUACACAUUUAAAGUCUUUCAUUUCAAUUUUUAGAAUUUAUAAUAUAGGUAGGAAAUAGUUUGCCUAACUCUAUAUAUAAGCACCAAAGUAUCAUUUAUACACAUUUAAACUCUCCUUUUUAAUUAGUCCGUAUACAAGUUAUGGUAUCUUGUGUUUUGUAUCAUUUUAUGGAAAUUUUGGUAUUUUAAGCUUGUAUCGACACUUGUCGACAUAAAGCAAGACUUUACUUUUUUAUAUAUAUAUUUUUGGCCAUAGUGGUCUUAUCCAAACCUUCUAUAAUGAUAGUACGGUUCAUACAUAUACAUAUCCUAUAAAGCUUUAGUUACUUCCAUGGCAACUUUAACAUCCUUUUAACAUAAUUGCCUAACAACACAUCUCAUGGCCACUAAUAAAAACACUUUACAUUUUAAUGACUUAUUUCAUUGCAUUAUGCCAUGGGAUUACACACUAAUAUAUUAACACUUAACUAUGACUUCAAUUUCAUAAACCCUAAGCUUACUAACUUAAGGGAAAAAUGAUCCAAGAUACUUUUCCAACAUUUAAUCAAUCUUUGAUGAACACCAAUCCAUCAUCAAUUAAGCUUGGAAAUCCUCAAAUCACCAUUUCCUCAUUUCUAUGCAACCAAAAUAUAAUAAAAAAUGAACAUAAAUUCUUUCUAAGCUUUUUCAUAUCAUUUCUCAAUAAUUAUCAAACUAAUCGAGGUGUAGAAAACCAUUUCUUACCAUUAUUGAAGCUUUCUCACUCUAGCUUUAUCUUCUCUCAACAAAGCUCCAUAAACCCUAAGUUGAAAUUAGUGAAAUUGAUUAUGGUAAUGAGUUCAGGAGGUGGUUUCCAUAAAGAUUUCAACAAAAUUUUAAGGUGAGUAAUGGAAAUUUUGAAAGAAAAUGAAGAAAU
Molecule: long non-coding RNA, 26293 nt
Filed under: Gossypium barbadense (sea-island cotton)
Lineage: Eukaryota; Viridiplantae; Streptophyta; Magnoliopsida; Malvales; Malvaceae
Description: long non-coding RNA (GBAR_LNC018475)
Source: RNAcentral